CCCUAGAGGGGGACAACAGUUGGAAACGACUGCUAAUACCGCAUACGAUCUAACCUCGGCAUCGAGGAUAGAUGAAAGGUGGCCUCUACAUGUAAGCUAUCACUGAAGGAGGGGAUUGCGUCUGAUUAGCUAGUUGGAGGGGUAACGGCCCACCAAGGCGAUGAUCAGUAGCCGGUCUGAGAGGAUGAACGGCCACAUUGGGACUGAGACACGGCCCAG
This 219-nucleotide ribosomal RNA is filed under the name uncultured bacterium. RNAcentral's name for it is "partial 16S ribosomal RNA". It matches the Rfam family "Bacterial small subunit ribosomal RNA", at positions 131 to 334 of the family's 1533-position model. The record is from RNAcentral.